AAAAACACAUCACACAAAUUGGGGAGAGGUUAAAAAAAUAUAAUGUGAAUAUUUAGGCUCGUGUUUAAUACAAGGAGUUGAAGGAAAUUAAUCAUGACUAAUUCAUCUACUUAUUAAUAAUACAAUUUUAGUGUAUUUUUACCCAUAAAUUUAUGAACCGUAUCGAAAGCGGUUCACAUGAAUCCGGUUUCACACACUGACCCGCCUCUGGACUAAUGCUAAUAAUAUAUUAAUAUCCAUAGUUUCAGCAGCCAACCCAUCGUUGUUGUACUUCUUGAUAGUUGAAGCUUAUAAGAGCAGAGUCCUUGUCCUUGAUUUUUUUUUUUUUUGCCAAAUUGCUAGUCUUCUUUCAUAUGUUAGCGCCAAUGACUGAUCUUGUCACCUUUGGAGGUUUGGAAUAUUGUUGACCUUGACAAUUACUCCUGAACAUGGAGUCAACAUAACGUUAAUUAAGAUUAAAACUGAGGCGAUGUGGUUAUUAACUGGUUCCUAAAUCAAUUCUUGCCACAAAUGAGAAAGGAGAAAACCAAUUACAGUAGAAUUCCAGGACAAGUAUAAUAAGUAAUACCAUCUGCAUAACAGUAUUAAGUGCGUGUUAGGAUUGAGCAGAGACAGUAACACGGCAGUGGCGUGUCA
This 636-nucleotide long non-coding RNA is filed under the name Nicotiana tabacum (common tobacco). RNAcentral's name for it is "long non-coding RNA (NTAB_LNC002461)". The record is from RNAcentral. Lineage: Eukaryota; Viridiplantae; Streptophyta; Magnoliopsida; Solanales; Solanaceae.